CCUACGGGGGGCAGCAGUGGGGAAUAUUGGACAAUGGGCGAAAGCCUGAUCCAGCCAUGCCACGUGUGUGAAGAAGGCCUUCGGGUUGUAAAGCACUUUCAGUGGGGAAGAAAGCCUUGGGGCUAAUACCCUCGAGGAAGGACAUCACCCACAGAAGAAGCACCGGCUAACCCCGUGCCAGCAGCCGCGGUAAUACGGAGGGUGCGAGCGUUAAUCGGAAUUACUGGGCGUAAAGCGCGCGUAGGCGGUCUGAUAAGCCGGUUGUGAAAGCCCCGGGCUCAACCUGGGAACGGCAUCCGGAACUGUCAGGCUAGAGUGCAGGAGAGGAAGGUAGAAUUCCCGGUGUAGCGGUGAAAUGCGUAGAGAUCGGGAGGAAUACCAGUGGCGAAGGCGGCCUUCUGGACUGACACUGACGCUGAGGUGCGAAAGCGUGGGUAGCAAACAGGAUUAGAUACCCCAGUAGUC
Molecule: ribosomal RNA, 465 nt
Filed under: Vreelandella stevensii
Lineage: Bacteria; Pseudomonadati; Pseudomonadota; Gammaproteobacteria; Oceanospirillales; Halomonadaceae
Description: partial 16S ribosomal RNA
Rfam family: Bacterial small subunit ribosomal RNA
Source: RNAcentral